Megalopta genalis is the source of this 1851-nucleotide non-coding RNA. NCBI's taxonomy places the organism in Eukaryota, Metazoa, Arthropoda, Insecta, Hymenoptera, Halictidae. The record is from RefSeq and is a predicted model, not a curated record.
CGUACAAUUAAAAUAAUGGCUCGCUUCGUUGCGUGAAAAUAGCGAAAACAUCGCACGCGUCGGACGCGCCAUCUUUCAAUCGCGGACUGUACUAGACGGACUGUCGAAGACGCCGCGAACACGGCAUAAGGAUGACUCACGAGCAAAGGCGCCGCCAGCGACGACCGCGGUCCGCUCAGCGGCAAGACUUCAUGUGCGUGUUUAGAACGGUCCUGGUCACAAAUCCCUUUCCGCAGCGCGGGCAAACGUACGGCCGUUCGCCGGUGUGAUAGCGUUUGUGAACCACCAGCGUCGACCUCUGUGUGAACGCUUUGCCGCACUGAUCGCACGAGUACUUCCGUUCGCCCGUGUGCGUCACGUUGUGCGUUCUAAGGAGGGUCUCGCAGGCGAAACACUUGCCGCACACUUCGCACGUGUACGGUUUCUCGCCUGUGUGCGAACGAUUGUGGAUCUCCAGGCCCUUCGCGGUCUUCAGCUCCUUGCCGCAAAGGGCGCACAAGUAACGACGCCUCUCGUAAUUAGGCGUGUCGCCGUGAGCCUUCACCGUAUGUUGUUUCAGCACGGACUUGUAUUUGUAGACUUUGCCGCAGACGUCGCACUUGUGCAUCGAAGACUGUUGUUGGCCGGCCUCGUUCACGUUCUCCUGCAUCAAGGCCGCUGGGUCGUAAUGGUAGAGCCGAUUGUGCUCCUUCAAACUGUAUCAAUGCGAUUCGUUUAAAUUCGAGCCGUCGACGGUUUACCGGCUCCGUUUUGUUCGGUCUCCGGCUGUGAUUUCACGUGGAUCUUGCGGUGUUUCUUGAGGAAGCUUCCGGAGACGAAUCCCUUGCCGCAGUCGUCGCACCGAUAGGUCCUCUCUCCGGCAUGAUACCGCAAAUGCAAGAUCAAAGAGGUCCUCUGGGUGAACCUACGGCCGCACUGGGUGCAAGCGUGCGGCUUUUCGCCGGUGUGUAUGCGCUGAUGGAUACUUAAGUUCUCUUUGCUGGCGAACUGUUUGCCGCAGAGAUUGCACAUCGCGACCUUCUCGUUCGCGUGGCCACGCCUAUGCGCCAUCAGCCUCCUCUUCGAGGACAACACCGCGCCGCACAGGUCGCACAGAUGCUCGCUCUUCCGGCCGAAGCCGUGCUGCUUCCUCAAGUGCCUUCCGAGCAACAGCUUCUGCGCGAAGCUCUGCAAGCAGAUGCCGCAGACGUGUUUGUGCUCGGCCUUGCUCGUCGCCGAAUCCGCCGGCAGAACGUUCGCGUGCUGCAGCCUGAGAUGCGCCGUCAGGUUCUUCUUGUAUGGAUAAGACUUGCUGCAAUGCUCGCAUCGGUACAUCUGCUUCCUCGUGUGAACGUUCACGUGCUCCAGAUACUCUGUUUUCAGGAAGAAGCCUUUCUCGCAUUCCUCGCACUGGAACGAGUAUUCCUUCGUGUGCCUGCGCCGAUGGCACUCGAGGUUCGACUUCUGGUUCGACCGGUAGUCGCAUAAGUCGCAGGCGAACCUCUUCAGGCCUGUGUGGAUCAGCUUGUGUCGGGCGAUGUUCAUCGGGCUUCUGAAUGUUUUGCCGCAUUCGUCGCAGCUGAACGCUUUGUCGAUGCCGUGCAAGUUCUUCAGGUGCUCGACGAGCUUUCGCGUGUGGCAGAAACAGGCGCCGCAUUUCACGCACUCGUGGAUCGCCCGGGACGUUGACCGUCGUAUUCUGAAACACGGGUAUUCAUUUAAUUUUUAUCAUUCGGAAUUUCAUCGACGGUUCAAUUAUAUUUCACAAUUUUUGGAGCCUGAUUCUUGUUGCUUUCAUCUGAAAAUAACACGGCGAUCACAGUAGAGCUUUGUUUACAUCGCGGGCAUAAAUAAAAGAUUUGUUCGAUGUAA